This 72-nucleotide transfer RNA is filed under the name Thermoleophilia bacterium. Its description in RNAcentral is "tRNA-Glu". It matches the Rfam family "tRNA". From Rfam's summary of the family: Transfer RNA (tRNA) molecules are approximately 80 nucleotides in length. Their secondary structure includes four short double-helical elements and three loops (D, anti-codon, and T loops). Further hydrogen bonds mediate the characteristic L-shaped molecular structure. tRNAs have two regions of fundamental functional importance: the anti-codon, which is responsible for specific mRNA codon recognition, and the 3' end, to which the tRNAs corresponding amino acid is attached (by aminoacyl-tRNA synthetases). tRNAs cope with the degeneracy of the genetic code in two manners: having more than one tRNA (with a specific anti-codon) for a particular amino acid; and 'wobble' base-pairing, i.e. permitting non-standard base-pairing at the 3rd anti-codon position. RNAcentral also lists the same sequence under 1 other name. Lineage: Bacteria; Bacillati; Actinomycetota; Thermoleophilia. The record is from RNAcentral.
GGCCCCAUCGUCUAACGGUUAGGACGUCGGCUUUUCAAGCCGAAAACCGGGGUUCGAUUCCCCGUGGGGCUA